CUGGCUUUCGAUAGCUAAACGACGAGGCGCUCCCCUUUCUUUAGAGUUAUAGGUUAUCCAAAUGGCUUUUCUUUUUCUCAUAGGUUGAAGCUUACACUUCGGCUGUCGGCAUUGCAUUCCCUUCGGAGAGAUUUUGUGAAGCAGAGAGUUCUCACUGUGCAAGUUGGAUUACUUUACCGAACCUCGCCCUCCUUUCUUUAGACUCGGUCAAGGCAAGGAGUGGUUGGCUGCUCUAUUGAUAGGAAGGGCACUUAUUAAUAUGGAUUAGUGGUAGUAGAUUGAUUGCCUUUUCUAAUAGUAUGAGGCUCUGUAUCCGUGCUGAACUCUUAAGGAAAGAAAGGGUUUAGUUACUUUAUAUGUAAAAGCCUAUUCGCGUAAUGCGUGAGAAGUCUGGCUAGAGUAAGAUAGCAUAUAAGAAAGAGAUGACAAAAACCAAAUAAAGGCAUACGCAAGGGACCUAUGUCAUUAUCAAAUAGCAGAGUAUAGGGCUUCUUACUAAAGACAAAUUUACAUAGAGAGCAUAUGAUUCCAGGCGACGUAUCUUCGCUUUCAUCUUUAUUAUAACACACUUGCAUCACUCCUUAUAAUAUACCACCCAUCUAAAUUACUCUCAUAGGAUGGAAAGAUUCCUACUGCUGCUCACUUCCUUUAUACAGCUGAGUGCUUCCUUUCUUUCUAUUGCUGCUUACUUCCUCUCUAUUCUAUUGCUGCUUACUUCCUCUCUAUUCUAUUGCUGCUUACUUCCUCUCUAUUCUAUUGCUGAGUGCUUCCUUUCUAUUGCUGAGUGCUUAUUCUUUCUCAUUUUAGAACAUCUAAGCUAUUACUAAAGGCUCUGGCUCUGGUUCUGGCUCUGCUCUAUCUGCUUACAGCCAUUUGUUCUUCUUGUUCUUUCGCCGGUAAACUCACUAAUGCUAUUGUUGCUCACUCCUGUAAGCUAACGCACUAUGGUUUCUGGAACUCUACUGAAGUCAAGAAAGAAGCCCCGCUCCCUGCCGGUUCCCUUGCUUGGUAUCUACUGAAGGAAUAUGCUUAGCGCUUCUGGUCGUCAAUGUGCCGCGUACGCUCGUAGCUCAAAGUAGUUUAAAUACGGUUCGGUUGGUUGAAAGAUGGCUGUAGUGAGUAAAGCGAGUGAAGUCAAGUAUAGAGCAGCCGGGCCCCGGGCAUUAACCACAAGAAAGGGUGCCUCAAGCUUCAUUCAAAAAAGGCAACAAGCAGCAAGGGAAUUAGUAGAAUAAGUGAUUUACAAUGCCAAUGCUUCUCUCUGAGUAAGCAGUGUUAGGGGUUCGUUCCUUUCUUUUUCUUAUAUUAUAUCAUGUGCAGCAAGCAAACUCCACUUCUAUUUAAGCUCGCAAGAGGAAGCAAGCAGUCUUUUGUCACUAAAUUCUAUUUCGGUAGCAUUCAAUUCUGCUAUUCAAAAGGGAGUGUAAGUAAACAAAAAAGGAAGAUAAAUUGAGUGUGUGCCUCUGAUAGAAGAAAUAGAAUUGAUUAAAAAACCAGAAGGAAAACUCAGAUAUAUUACUUGUCUUUAAGAACUCAUAUCUAAGCAUGCCCAUCAUACUUAUAUUACUUGUCUUUAAGAACUCAUAUCUAAGCAUACCCAUCAUUUCGAAUAUCGGCACUACCAUGUGUUAAGCAAUGAGAGUUUAGAUGGAAGUGAAGACUUAAGGAGUUGAUAUACCCUUUCUAGCAAGGCCCUAUACUAACUACUUGGAAAGAGGCAAGGCAAAGAGGCGGGGACACCGGUACCGUGUUAUCUAAGUUGAUACUUGUUCCCGCUGGCGAAUGCACCUAUUGUAUAGACUUAUUUACGAACAUCUGACUUCUUUCCAUUAUUGAUUGCGGAUUGCUUACUCCUGGUAUGAGAGCUCGAAUGGGGAUUACUUUAUUAUAGGAGCACAAUGAAAUAACUGCCUAUUACUGGUUUUUUUGUUCCGUGUUGCUGGGAACUCUUUCACUUGUUUGCUUUAAGUAGGAAUUGAGUCUGCCUUUCUUCUCCAUACGAUACUUCUAAAGCUACAACAGUUGGGCGGGGGCUUAGUAAACCAUUCAUGAAAUAAUUAUGUGGUGCACACACAUAUGAUAGAAAUGAUCAACCUCACUGCAAAACAACAAUUGAUAGAAAAAUGGAACUCAACUGCGAAACUCCAACUCCAAUAAGUGUUAGCACAACCGCUUGUUGAAAAGAGGCACCCCGACCCGAGUCGCUUGUUGAAUGGAGGAAAAGAAUGUGCACUACUCUACUAUAAGGACUACUAAUAGAAAUAGGCUCUUAGCACCUUGCUUUCGAUCUACUCGAGUAGCUUGGCUAGUUUGUGUCUUGCGCAACGACUAAUGCUAUAGUAACUUGCGUUAGCAUAAUGUGUUUUCGCCAGAGCUUGUUCAUCCUUUUGAUUCUUCCGUUGCAUGUUUCUCCACUUCUUUGACCCUUGCUGAGGAAGGCUUCUUUCUCGUUGUUUAACCCGUGUCCUGUACCUCGGGGGUCUAUUGCUAAUAAGUCUAUUAACCUGUACCUCAGGGGGUCUAUUGCUAAUGAGUCUCGGGGGUCUAUUGCUAAUAAGUCUCGGGGGUCUAUUGCUAAUAAGUCUAUUAAUGGGGCUUUAUUCCGUGUGGGUUUCGUAAGGUUAAGGGCUAAUGUUAAUCUCCGAUAGAAUAAGAAUGCUUUGGAAGGGUAAAGUGGAAAGGAAUGGCUGAAUUGGAUCUAGCGUUGAUACAUUAUAUAGAACUCAGUCAUUUUCGAAGUGUUUUUCAUAUAUAAUAGAAUUCUUCAAUGAAAAGAACUCCCCAUUAGAGGAGCCAGCCUCAGUCAGUCCCAUCACUCCGGAUUGCUUACUGCUGGCACAAACUCACGUUUACCCCCCGAAAACUCCAAAUCAUGGAAAUGACUUGAAUAGCUUUACUUGGAGAAUUCCCUCUCUUGCGCGCUUACUUUCAUAAUUCCUUCUGAAGCAGACAGCCCAGCAGUUCGAUAAUGGUAGUGACAAAAUCACUAUUCUUCUAUUCCUUCUUAAGCCCCCUAACACGCUAUAUUAGUAAUAGCUUUUUCGGUAUCUUCUAGUUUUAGGAGAGUAUCCAUUGGUGCCCCGAGUGUUGUAGGAUUAUGAAUUAGCAUAGUUUCACAGAGUCAUAUAAUAUAGACGCAAAAGACAACUAUAAGAGUGCUUACGCUUACUUUCGCAGUUGCUGCAGCUUGUUCCGUUGCGAGACGUUAAUCUUUUUAGAAAUCAAUUCUUAACAAGAAGGGCGCCAAGGCCGCUUUUUGCCCAAGCAUCCUUCAAAUGGAGUGCAUCAUCCAUUAUAGAAAUAUGGUAAACAACCACUAUAAUAAGAAUAAAGUAACCAAACUCUAAACUCCUCGCUCUUGCUUUAAUUAAUACUUUAGUGCAAAAUCAUAUUUGAGAGCGUUCCUGCUCCUGCUCUACCUAACAAAACAGUGCUAGCCCCACUUAAUAUGCAUGACAACUGAUCUAAGGGCGGAACCUAACUGCUUGUUAGCUUGUUUUUGCGCGGUUGCUUUCUCUUAUUUAACAGGCUCCUUACUCUAAGGAAGAGAAUUGAGCAUUACACUUAAUAUAGAAUAGAGAAAUAGUAACUCAACUGAUUGACUUCUUGCCUUGACUUUGAUUAUUGGCUUCUGAAGCGGUUAAGUAGAAAAGAAGCUAGAAAGCUAGUAAGUCUACUACCCUUGCCCGAGCUCACUAACGCACAAACAGAACAAAGCUUGUUCCCCGCACAACACCCAAUUGCUUCCUUUAAGAACUCAUAUCGGCAUAGAAAGAGCGAGCAACAACA
RNAcentral lists this long non-coding RNA (3789 nucleotides) under Musa acuminata (dwarf banana). RNAcentral describes it as "long non-coding RNA (MACU_LNC008418)". The record is from RNAcentral. Lineage: Eukaryota; Viridiplantae; Streptophyta; Magnoliopsida; Zingiberales; Musaceae.